GCUGGUGAGGGGAGGAUCUCAACUCUGGAAGAUUCCGGAGCAUCUGGAAAAAGCCCGCAGAGGCAGAGGAGGGAGCUCCCAGGAGGCUCACAAUAUACUUGAAGGUCCACUUCUUCCGACUGUCCUGGGCCUAUUUCAUUGGAGGCCUCACACUGGUACUUCCCACUCAUCUCCUUGGUCACAGUGGACAGAGUCAGCGUGCCUGGCACCCUUGGUGCCCUCGAGGGCCGGAAGAGAAGAGACAAGACCCUCGUCCUUCCCGGGGGGGCCCUGGGGGACACUCACGCUUCACAUCCAGCCCCACGCUUUCCUCGGAGAGUAUCCGCUCUGCUCGGGGGUCCCAGAGCUGGCAGGAAAGAUUCUUGCCGUGGUGAGUCCACUGCGGCUGGAAG
Molecule: long non-coding RNA, 392 nt
Organism: Herpailurus yagouaroundi (jaguarundi)
Lineage: Eukaryota; Metazoa; Chordata; Mammalia; Carnivora; Felidae
Exons: 3
Source: RefSeq, a predicted model, not a curated record